Molecule: ribosomal RNA, 253 nt
Filed under: uncultured bacterium
Lineage: Bacteria
Description: partial 16S ribosomal RNA
Rfam family: Bacterial small subunit ribosomal RNA
Source: RNAcentral
CACGGGGGGAGCAAGCGUUGUUCGGAAUCACUGGGCGUAAAGCGCGCGCAGGCGGUCCUUUAAGUCUGAUGUGAAAGCCCACGGCUCAACCGUGGAGGGUCAUUGGAAACUGGGGGACUUGAGUGCAGGAGAGAAGAGUGGAAUUCCACGUGUAGCGGUGAAAUGCGUAGAGAUGUGGAGGAACACCAGUGGCGAAGGCGACUCUUUGGCCUGUAACUGACGCUGAGGCGCGAAAGCGUGGGGAGCAAACAGG